This 892-nucleotide long non-coding RNA is filed under the name Citrus maxima (pomelo). Its description in RNAcentral is "long non-coding RNA (CMAX_LNC001922)". Lineage: Eukaryota; Viridiplantae; Streptophyta; Magnoliopsida; Sapindales; Rutaceae. The record is from RNAcentral.
UGUUUAGGGUUUUGAAUUCACCCUCAACCAAAUAAAAAUUUAGCCUAACAUAAUUGAAUUGGGAAUAAGAGAAUUAACAAAACCAAUCAUGGAGAUUAAUUCAAGCGGCUGCCUUUGGUUUAACUUAAUUCCAGCUGCUGGUUUUUUUCUUCUCCUUGCGGCUGCUGAUUUUCCUCUGCCCGAAUUGCGUCUGCCCUCCUCCCUCUCGCUCUCUGGCAGCUCUCCUUUUAUAAUGCUAGUUGACCGAAUUCUUCUCCAACAAGUCUAAAGAAAUCCUUUUUCAAUUCUAAUUGAAAUCCUUUUCCAAUUUAAUCUUUAUUCCUUCUCAAUUUGAACUUCUUCAUGUCCUUUUUAUCCACAAUCUCCAAUUAAUUCCCUAUUCAAUAAAAUAAUACAAUUAAUUAAAAAUAAUAAAUAAAAAUAACUAGUAAAUAUAUAAUAAAGGGUAAAAUAUGUAUAUUAAUUAAUUCCCUAUUCAAUUAAAAAUUAACUAAAAUAACUAGAAUAUUUAAGAUCAAAACAAGAAAAAGAUGGAGAAAUUAAUAACAAAAUAUAUGAAAAAUAUGCACUUAUCAGGAGUAAUAAAAUAAAUAAAACCAAUCAUGAAAAGCCGAAGUGCUGCUGCCGCUACCCUCUAUUCUCUCUGUCUCGCAUCCUCCCUUUUGUUUCCGUCCUCUGGCGGCUACCUCAUUCAAAAGCCAAAACUCUCUUUUUAUAAUGCUUAGCCACCGAAUCCUCUUUGUCUACUAAUUAAAAUCCUUUUUCAAUUAUAAAACAAAGCUUCCAUAAUAACGCCACCAUAAGACAUUAAUUCCACUUUUGAAAGUCAAGUGUGGGCCCCAUUUAAAUUGCUUUUCACUUUUGCAAUGACAUGCAUGUCUAACUCAAUUGG